Molecule: microRNA, 23 nt
Filed under: Ornithorhynchus anatinus (platypus)
Lineage: Eukaryota; Metazoa; Chordata; Mammalia; Monotremata; Ornithorhynchidae
Description: Oan-Mir-1421-P53_5p* (star (passenger))
Source: RNAcentral
GAGGGGUCAGGUGUCAUACUGUG